CGCGAAGUUAGCCGGGGCUUAUUCCUCCGGUACCGUCAUUAUCGUCCCGGAUAAAAGAGCUUUACAACCCUAAGGCCUUCAUCACUCACGCGGCAUGGCUGGAUCAGGCUUGCGCCCAUUGUCCAAUAUUCCCCACUGCUGCCUCCCGUAGGAGUCUGGGCCGUGUCUCAGUCCCAGUGUGGCUGAUCAUCCUCUCAGACCAGCUACUGAUCGUCGCCUUGGUAGGCCGUUACCCCACCAACUAGCUAAUCAGACGCGGGCCGAUCUUCCGGCAGUAAACCUUUCCCCAAAGGGCGUAUCCGGUAUUAGCCCUAGUUUCCCAGGGUUAUUCCGAACCAGAAGGCACGUUCCCACGCGUUACUCACCCGUCCGCCGCUGACCCCGAAGGGCCCGCUCGACUUGCAUGUGUUAAGCCUGCCGCCAGCGUUCGCUCUGAGCCACGGAUCAAACUAC
RNAcentral lists this ribosomal RNA (453 nucleotides) under uncultured Methylobacterium sp. RNAcentral describes it as "partial 16S ribosomal RNA". The record is from RNAcentral. Lineage: Bacteria; Pseudomonadati; Pseudomonadota; Alphaproteobacteria; Hyphomicrobiales; Methylobacteriaceae.